This 24-nucleotide non-coding RNA is filed under the name Arabidopsis thaliana (thale cress). Lineage: Eukaryota; Viridiplantae; Streptophyta; Magnoliopsida; Brassicales; Brassicaceae. The record is from RNAcentral.
GACAUAUAUCACUGAACCACCAAG